This 65-nucleotide transfer RNA is filed under the name Apalacris tonkinensis. RNAcentral describes it as "tRNA-Cys". Lineage: Eukaryota; Metazoa; Arthropoda; Insecta; Orthoptera; Acrididae. The record is from RNAcentral.
GGCUUUAUAUUCAAUUAUGAUUUUAGACUGCAAUUCUAGAGGUGUAAUAUAUUUUACUAAGGCCU